Molecule: non-coding RNA, 113 nt
Organism: Acanthosepion pharaonis
Lineage: Eukaryota; Metazoa; Mollusca; Cephalopoda; Sepiida; Sepiidae
Source: the annotation of a GenBank genome assembly
UAUGGCCAUAUCACGUUGAAACACCGGUUCUAGUCAGGUCACCGAACUUCAGCAACGUUGAGGCUGGUCAGUACCUAGAAGGGUGACCACUUGGGACAACCAGGUGUUGUAAG